Molecule: ribosomal RNA, 945 nt
Filed under: uncultured Prevotella sp.
Lineage: Bacteria; Pseudomonadati; Bacteroidota; Bacteroidia; Bacteroidales; Prevotellaceae
Description: partial 16S ribosomal RNA
Rfam family: Bacterial small subunit ribosomal RNA
Source: RNAcentral
AUUGAACGCUGGCGGCAGGCUUAACACAUGCAAGUCGAACGGUAGCAGGAGAAAGCUUGCUUUCUUGCUGACGAGUGGCGGACGGGUGAGUAAUGCUUGGGAAUCUGGCUUAUGGAGGGGGAUAACGACGGGAAACUGUUGCUAAUACCGCGUAUUAUCGGAAGAUGAAAGUGCGGGACUGAGAGGCCGCAUGCCAUAGGAUGAGUCCAAGUGGGAUUAGGUAGUUGGGGGGGUAAAGGCCUACCAAGCCUGCGAUCUCUAGCUGGGCUGAGAGGAUGACCAGCCACACUGGAACUGAGACACGCUCCAGACUCCUACAGGAGACAGCAGUGGGGAAUAUUUGCGCAAUGGGGGGAACCCUGACGCAGCCAUGCCCCCGCGAAUGAAGAAGGCCUUAGGGUUGUAAAGUUCUUUCGGUAUUUAGGAAGGGUGAUGUGUUAAUAGCACAUCAAAUUGACGUUAAAUACAGAAGAAGCACCCGGUAACUCCGUGCCAGCAGCCGCGGGAAUACGGAGGGUGCCAGCGUUAAAACGGAAUAAACUGGGGCGUAAAGGGCACCCCAGGCGGUAUUUUAAAGGAGGGGUGAAAGCCCCCGGGGUUAACCUGGGGAAUUGCUUUUUUGACUGGGGGAAACAGGGAACAUUUAAGGGAGGGGGGGAAUUUCCCCCGUUAGGGGUGAAAAAACCCAAAAGAAUUUGAGGAAAUACCCCAGGCGAAAGCCGCCCCCUUGGGAAAUUCCUGACCCCCCGUGCGAAAACGUUGGGGGCAAAACAGAAUUGAAAUCCCUUGGAGUCCAGGGGGAAAUUCCCCAUUGGGUUGCGCCCGGGGAACCCAUAGUCUUUAGGGGGCCCCCCCCGGAGGCCCCCAUUCCCCCCUUGGGGAAAACAUAGACGCCCCCCCCUUACUUUUUUUUUUAACAACUCGUCACGGGAAAACCCCGGUCAU